RNAcentral lists this ribosomal RNA (459 nucleotides) under uncultured bacterium. RNAcentral's name for it is "partial 16S ribosomal RNA". It matches the Rfam family "Bacterial small subunit ribosomal RNA", at positions 338 to 795 of the family's 1533-position model. The record is from RNAcentral.
CCUACGGGAGGCAGCAGUGAGGAAUAUUGGUCAAUGGCCGGAAGGCUGAACCAGCCAAGCCGCGUGAGGGACGACGGCCCUAAGGGUUGUAAACCUCUUUUGUCGGGGGACAAAGUGAGGCACGUGUGCCUGAUGGAGAGUACCCGAAGAAAAAGCAUCGGCUAACUCCGUGCCAGCAGCCGCGGUAAUACGGAGGAUGCGAGCGUUAUCCGGAUUUAUUGGGUUUAAAGGGUGCGUAGGCGGACUGUUAAGUCAGCGGUAAAAGCCCGGGGCUCAACCCCGGCGAGCCGUUGAAACUGGCUGUCUUGAGAGGGCGAGAAGUAUGCGGAAUGCGCGGUGUAGCGGUGAAAUGCAUAGAUAUCGCGCAGAACUCCGAUUGCGAAGGCAGCAUACCGGCGCCGAACUGACGCUGAGGCACGAAAGCGUGGGUAUCGAACAGGAUUAGAUACCCGUGUAGUC